GAUGAACGCUGGCGGCGUGCCUAACACAUGCAAGUCGAACGAAGCUUGACGGAUGAUUUCUUCGGAAUGAAACCAGAUAUGACUUAGUGGCGGACGGGUGAGUAACACGUGAGCAACCUGCCUUUCAGAGGGGGAUAACGGCUGGAAACGGUCGCUAAUACCGCAUGAUGUGUUCGGAUGGCAUCAUCUGAACAUCAAAGAUUUAUCGCUGAAAGAUGGGCUCGCGUCUGAUUAGAUAGUUGGUGGGGUAACGGCCUACCAAGUCUACGAUCAGUAGCCGGACUGAGAGGUUGAACGGCCACAUUGGGACUGAGAUACGGCCCAGACUCCUACGGGAGGCAGCAGUGGGGAAUAGUGCACAAUGGGGGAAACCCUGAUGCAGCAACGCCGCGUGAAGGAUGACGGUUUUCGGAUUGUAAACUUCUUUUCUUAGUGACGAAGACAGUGACGGUAGCUAAGGAAUAAGCAUCGGCUAACUACGUG
RNAcentral lists this ribosomal RNA (483 nucleotides) under uncultured bacterium. RNAcentral's name for it is "partial 16S ribosomal RNA". It matches the Rfam family "Bacterial small subunit ribosomal RNA", at positions 28 to 507 of the family's 1533-position model. The record is from RNAcentral.